AAGUCGUAACAAGGUCUCCGUUGGUGAACCAGCGGAGGGAUCAUUAUAGAGUUUUCUAAACUCCCAACCCAUGUGAACUUACCAUUGUUGCCUCGGCAGAAGCUGCUCGGUGCACCUUACCUUGGAACGGCCUACCCUGUAGCGCCUUACCCUGGAACGGCUUACCCUGUAGCGGCUGCCGGUGGACUACCAAACUCUUGUUAUUUUAUUGUAAUCUGAGCGUCUUAUUUUAAUAAGUCAAAACUUUCAACAACGGAUCUCUUGGUUCUG
Molecule: unclassified non-coding RNA, 270 nt
Filed under: Pestalotiopsis sp.
Lineage: Eukaryota; Fungi; Ascomycota; Sordariomycetes; Amphisphaeriales; Sporocadaceae
Also listed under: 1 other name
Description: partial internal transcribed spacer region
Rfam family: Eukaryotic small subunit ribosomal RNA (bases 1-46)
Source: RNAcentral